Molecule: long non-coding RNA, 2011 nt
Organism: Alligator mississippiensis (American alligator)
Lineage: Eukaryota; Metazoa; Chordata; Crocodylia; Alligatoridae
Exons: 5
Source: RefSeq, a predicted model, not a curated record
UGCGCGGCUCCCUUACCGAUUCCUCCUCCUUCUCCAUGCCCGUGGGCAUCUGCGGCACCGCCCGGUUGAUGGAGACGCAGUCGUUGAGGUGACAGAGCCCUGAGAGACUUAACGCUUGACUUCCCUGCUAAAAAGGUGUGAUUUUGUACCUGGAGGUAACCACAAGCAUGAGUGAUCCCAAGCUCUCUACAUGUAGGUAUUUGGCUGUGAAGAGCAUCCAGAAGCUUCAGGGAAAGCAGAAGGCAGGUAGGCAGCAUUCCCAGCUGCAAGGGGUCUUGCUUGGGGCUGCUGGAAGUGGGACGCAGGGGGCAUCACAUGCAUAUGUGCACCCAGAAAUGUAGCCAGGCAGCAAGGAGAACAGCUCCCUGCAGGUAAAUGGUAAAUGUUUGAAUGAGCUGUGAGGAACCUAAGCUGACCUACAUACUUUAAAAUAAGUACCUCAGCAUCUAUUUUCUAUAACUCCACAUGUAAUCAUCCUGGAAAGCCUCUCAAUACAACAUGAACUCUAAAAUGUAUCCCUUUCCUUGCCAUCAUUCAAAGCUUUUUACCCUAUCCUAAAAGAGAGAUCUUCUUUCAGGCUUUCCAAACCAGUUUUAUACCUAUUUUUUUGCUUCAGAUAUGGGUGGAAUGCGCCAUAACAAACCCUUUAUUCAUACCAAAUGUUUUUAUCAUCAGACUCUUGCAGAAAAACAAGCUGCAUCCGGCUCUUUUCUCUGUAGGGAGCAGGUCAUAUAAUAGCAUAACUCCAUGAAUGCACUCUUAGCUUACUUAUGUCAAGGCUGCUUUAGGCCUUGUAGGCCUAAAGGACCAUUUUAUUCCUGUCAAACGUCUUCACAGUUGUUUAUACUUUUAUAAUAGAAUAAAUGUCAUCCAUUAUUUAUUAAAUUAAAAAAAAAAAAAGAGAGCGAGAAACAUGUUUGUGCCUUUUUACUAAGGCUUUGUCUACUCUACAAAGGGUUUGCCAGCACAGCUAGUGAAGAUGCAGUUUAUAUUACCAAAAGAGUCCUUUUCCUAGUGUAACAUAUGUAGUUGUCCCAUCCACCCCCGACCUGCAAGCCUGUGAACCAGAGGUCAAAACCCACAUGGGUCCAAAGGGUCAUUGCCUGGGAGAGAGGAUGCACAAAGGAGCUUAGGUUCAUGCAAGUCGCACAGAGGUACGGCAACUUACCCGGUUCCCAGGUAGGGGAAGUUAGCUGGAUCUAAUAGAGGAAGGAAGAAACAGAAAGUUACCUUGAGUAGACUGGGUGGGAGCUCUGAACAUGGAGGGAACAUGGCAUCCUAGUGAGUGUGGCAGCUGAUGGCCAAUUAUCUGCAGAGAAGGGAGAAGUGUGUAAGCAUUAGCAUGGGCAAUCCUGCUUAGGCGGCUCCUGUCAAUGUUGGGUGGACAGGGAACAGGGUCAAGGGAUUUUUGUAGAUUGGGCAAAGUUCCCCGCAGCAGUGGAUCAGAAUAGACUUUGUUAAAAGAGAGUUAAGAAACAAAGACUCUUGACUGGUGGAGGGUACAGAAAGGAGGCAUGGUAAAGAUCCUGCACAGGAAUAGGACUGUUGAGCUUGAAGGCUAAACAUUGACUCACCGGACACUGGGGUAUGAGCCUGGGAGAUUGUGAAGUUUGACCCAAGCUAGAUCUGGGAUUAAUAUCUGUGUGAUCAGUUAAGAGUAACUAGAGAUACCUCUGGAGUGUGUAGAUGCACCAGGGAGAAAGAUGGAUAAGUAUUUCAUCAAUAACCAUCUGUGGAGUGGUAUGCACAGGGUCUAGGGGAAGAGGAGUCCUGUAAAGAGGCUAAAAGCCACUACCUGGUUUGGAGAGGGACAGAAGACCACACCUCCCAAUGUUCAUUUUCUCUUUUCAUUAUUUUCUUCUUAACAUCAAAGGCGUGGCAGGCAAGUAUGAAGGAGAACCAGUGUAGAACUGGGUAGAACAGGUUCAACCUCUAUUUAAAAAAAGGGGUAGUUCUGAACUACUACAAUACAGUAUGAAUGAUUUGAUUGUAUAUCUUAAAAAUAUGAUUA